GGAGAGGUGUCCGAGUGGCCGAAGGAUCUGGUCUUGAAAACCAGCGUAGGGAGACCUACCGUGGGUUCGAAUCCCACCUUCUCCG
Non-coding RNA from Spirochaetaceae bacterium 4572_59, 85 nucleotides. The record is from Rfam. NCBI's taxonomy places the organism in Bacteria, Pseudomonadati, Spirochaetota, Spirochaetia, Spirochaetales, Spirochaetaceae.